ACCGUCCAGAUUCCUCACCCAUCAGAUGUGCACCCUGGUCUGAGUGGUUAUAAAAGGGGGGAAAUUAAAAUUGGAUCUGACUUAAAUUGGAGUGACAGUGACACACGAGCUAGUUCAAACAAAC
Molecule: small nucleolar RNA, 124 nt
Filed under: Echinops telfairi (small Madagascar hedgehog)
Lineage: Eukaryota; Metazoa; Chordata; Mammalia; Afrosoricida; Tenrecidae
Description: Small nucleolar RNA SNORA61 (ENSETEG00000024180.1)
Source: RNAcentral